This 522-nucleotide ribosomal RNA is filed under the name Penicillium sp. RNAcentral's name for it is "eukaryotic LSU rRNA". It matches the Rfam family "Eukaryotic large subunit ribosomal RNA", at positions 129 to 666 of the family's 3401-position model. The record is from RNAcentral. Lineage: Eukaryota; Fungi; Ascomycota; Eurotiomycetes; Eurotiales; Aspergillaceae.
CUUCGGGGUCCGCAUUGUAAUUUGUAGAGGAUGCUUCGGGAGCGGUCCCCAUCUAAGUGCCCUGGAACGGGACGUCAUAGAGGGUGAGAAUCCCGUAUGGGAUGGGGUGUCCGCGCCCGUGUGAAGCUCCUUCGACGAGUCGAGUUGUUUGGGAAUGCAGCUCUAAAUGGGUGGUAAAUUUCAUCUAAAGCUAAAUAUUGGCCGGAGACCGAUAGCGCACAAGUAGAGUGAUCGAAAGAUGAAAAGCACUUUGAAAAGAGAGUUAAAAAGCACGUGAAAUUGUUGAAAGGGAAGCGCUUGCGACCAGACUCGCUCGCGGGGUUCAGCCGGCAUUCGUGCCGGUGUACUUCCCCGCGGGCGGGCCAGCGUCGGUUUGGGCGGUCGGUCAAAGGCCCUCGGAAGGUAACGCCCCUAGGGGCGUCUUAUAGCCGAGGGUGCAAUGCGACCUGCCUAGACCGAGGAACGCGCUUCGGCUCGGACGCUGGCAUAAUGGUCGUAAACGACCCGUCUUGAAACACGGAC